UACCGUAGGGACGAGGCGUUGGUCCGGAAGUUACUGGGCGUAAAGGGCGCGCAGGCUGUAGAUCAAGUCAGCUGUGAAAUGUCUGGGCUUAACCCGGGCAUGCGGUUGAAACUGAUGUACUGGAGUGCUGUAGAGGCAAGUGGAAUUCCCAGUGUAGCGGUGAAAUGCGUAGAUAUUGGGAAGAACACCGGUGGCGAAGGCGACUUGCUGGGCAGCAACUGACGCUGAGGCGCGAAAGCCAGGGGAGCAAACGGGAUUAGAUA
RNAcentral lists this ribosomal RNA (263 nucleotides) under uncultured prokaryote. Its description in RNAcentral is "partial 16S ribosomal RNA". It matches the Rfam family "Bacterial small subunit ribosomal RNA", at positions 523 to 784 of the family's 1533-position model. The record is from RNAcentral.